This 516-nucleotide ribosomal RNA is filed under the name Triticum aestivum (bread wheat). RNAcentral's name for it is "partial small subunit ribosomal RNA". Lineage: Eukaryota; Viridiplantae; Streptophyta; Magnoliopsida; Poales; Poaceae. The record is from RNAcentral.
AUGGCCAUUGUAAGAGCUGACCACCCUUAUUUGCAGGAGCAAUACUAUGUUGUCAGCUUUGUCAAUGGAUUAAAGCCCAGCAUAAGAUGCAACUUAAGGCCACAGAGACCUAAAACUCUUAGCCAGGCUUACUGGUUAGCAAGGGACUAUGAGAGUGGACUGCAAGCAAAGUACCAAUCUUACAUGAACCAGCAAGAACGACUGCAGGCUCAUUCGAGCCAGCAAAAGCACACUAUUCCACCAGCUCCAAAUUUACAGGUACCACUUGCAGCUCCAGCCACCAAAAAGCCAGGUAUAUGUUGGAGAUGCAAUGGACCGUGGGUGCCAGGCCAUAAGUGCAAACAAGCACCUUCAGUACACGCUAUAGUUGGUCCUGAAAGUGCUGAAGAUGUUACACCUGAAGAGGAGGCCCAACUUGCAGUACUGACAGUUGAAGGCCAAUGGACUGAAUCUGAUAAUCAGUGCAUGCACAUUUCUGCACAAGCAAUAUCAGGAAAUGCUUCCCUUCUACUCUAG